RNAcentral lists this ribosomal RNA (274 nucleotides) under uncultured prokaryote. RNAcentral's name for it is "partial 16S ribosomal RNA". It matches the Rfam family "Bacterial small subunit ribosomal RNA", at positions 524 to 798 of the family's 1533-position model. The record is from RNAcentral.
UACGUAUGGGGCAAGCGUUAUCCGGAAUUAUUGGGCGUAAAGAGUGCGUAGGUGGUUACCUAAGCGCAAGGUUUAAUCUUGAGGCUCAACCUCAUUCUGCCUUGCGAACUGGGCUACUUGAGUGCAGGAGGGGAAAGCGGAAUUCCCAGUGUAGCGGUGAAAUGCGUAGAUAUUGGGAAGAACACCGGUGGCGAAGGCGGCUUUCUGGACUGUAACUGACACUGAGGCACGAAAGCGUGGGGAGCAAACAGGAUUAGAUACCCCUGUAGUCCCU